RNAcentral lists this transfer RNA (77 nucleotides) under Rickettsiales bacterium. RNAcentral describes it as "tRNA-Lys". It matches the Rfam family "tRNA". Rfam says of the family: Transfer RNA (tRNA) molecules are approximately 80 nucleotides in length. Lineage: Bacteria; Pseudomonadati; Pseudomonadota; Alphaproteobacteria; Rickettsiales. The record is from RNAcentral.
GGGGUUGUAGCUCAGUUGGCUAGAGCAAAUGACUUUUAAUCAUUGGGUCCAGGGUUCGAAUCCCUGCAACCCCACCA